Molecule: ribosomal RNA, 495 nt
Filed under: uncultured bacterium
Lineage: Bacteria
Description: partial 16S ribosomal RNA
Rfam family: Bacterial small subunit ribosomal RNA
Source: RNAcentral
UGAACGCUGGCGGCGUGCCUAAUACAUGCAGGUCGAGCGAACAGACGAGGAGCUUGCUCCUCUGACGUUAGCGGCGGACGGGUGAGUAACACGUGGAUAACCUACCUAUAAGACUGGGAUAACUUCGGGAAACCGGAGCUAAUACCGGAUAAUAUAUUGAACCGCAUGGUUCAAUAGUGAAAGACGGUUUUGCUGUCACUUAUAGAUGGAUCCGCGCCGCAUUAGCUAGUUGGUAAGGUAACGGCUUACCAAGGCGACGAUGCGUAGCCGACCUGAGAGGGUGAUCGGCCACACUGGAACUGAGACACGGUCCAGACUCCUACGGGAGGCAGCAGUAGGGAAUCUUCCGCAAUGGGCGGAAGCCUGACGGAGCAACGCCGCGUGAGUGAUGAAGGUCUUCGGAUCGUAAAACUCUGUUAUUAGGGAAGAACAAAUGUGUAAGUAACUAUGCACGUCUUGACGGUACCUAAUCAGAAAGCCACGGCUAACUACGUG